RNAcentral lists this ribosomal RNA (484 nucleotides) under uncultured bacterium. RNAcentral describes it as "partial 16S ribosomal RNA". It matches the Rfam family "Bacterial small subunit ribosomal RNA", at positions 29 to 507 of the family's 1533-position model. The record is from RNAcentral.
AUUGAACGCUGGCGGCAUGCUUUACACAUGCAAGUCGAACGGCAGCGCGGGCUUCGGCCUGGCGGCGAGUGGCGAACGGGUGAGUAAUACAUCGGAACGUGCCCAGUAGUGGGGGAUAGCUCGGCGAAAGCCGGAUUAAUACCGCAUACGACCUGAGGGUGAAAGCGGGGGAUCUUCGGACCUCGCGCUAUUGGAGCGGCCGAUGGCAGAUUAGCUAGUUGGUGGGGUAAAGGCCUACCAAGGCGACGAUCUGUAGCUGGUCUGAGAGGACGACCAGCCACACUGGGACUGAGACACGGCCCAGACUCCUACGGGAGGCAGCAGUGGGGAAUUUUGGACAAUGGGCGAAAGCCUGAUCCAGCAAUGCCGCGUGUGUGAUGAAGGCCUUCGGGUUGUAAAGCACUUUUAGCGGGAACGAAAAGGACUGUGCCAAUACCACGGUUCGAUGACGGUACCCGCAGAAUAAGCACCGGCUAACUACGUG